UGGUCAAGGCGUCAAUUCCUAUCCGUUUGGAUGGCCUUUUCGUCCACGCUGGCUCCGCGGCUUCCAAUGCCGUGCCGCCAGCUGAGAAAGCGAGCACGUCCAAGAAUGCCCUUUUCGGUCUCGGAGAUGGACCUACCAGCGCGGCAUUUCUUUGUGUGCAAUUGUGCAUGCCUCACCUACACUGUGCUCUGCUGUAGUACAUGUAGAUAUGAAGAACAGAAGCCGUGAACAAAUACAA
This 238-nucleotide long non-coding RNA is filed under the name Setaria italica (foxtail millet). RNAcentral's name for it is "long non-coding RNA (SITA_LNC005346)". The record is from RNAcentral. Lineage: Eukaryota; Viridiplantae; Streptophyta; Magnoliopsida; Poales; Poaceae.